CAAUUGGAUGGGCUAGAUGGUCAAACAACAGAGAAAGCUCAAGAAGACACCGAGAACAUAACCAAGGCCGCCAAUCAAGAAUGUGUGCAAGAAGCUGAACAAGUGAACAUAAAUGAUGAGAUCACACCAGUAGGACAAGGCCAGGAGGCCCCUGGUUCAGAUCCACCACACCCACCACAACCAGCAGACAAGGGCAAAGGACCAGCUAGAGUAAACAGCCCAAUUAGACCAAGACCAUCCUCAUACGUACUUGAUCUGGACCAACCAAUAUCUCCAACAGAAGAAGCAAUCAGGAAAUGGGUAUUGGACAACCCUAACCCAGAUCUGACACAAGAACUAUUCAAGUAUGACGGAAGAGUAAUCUACUGGAAAGAUAUGCUGACAAUGAAGCCAGAUAC
This is a long non-coding RNA of Ipomoea nil (Japanese morning glory), 398 nucleotides long. RefSeq lists it as uncharacterized. The record is from RefSeq and is a predicted model, not a curated record. NCBI's taxonomy places the organism in Eukaryota, Viridiplantae, Streptophyta, Magnoliopsida, Solanales, Convolvulaceae. The transcript is spliced from 3 exons.